RNAcentral lists this ribosomal RNA (484 nucleotides) under uncultured bacterium. Its description in RNAcentral is "partial 16S ribosomal RNA". It matches the Rfam family "Bacterial small subunit ribosomal RNA", at positions 28 to 523 of the family's 1533-position model. The record is from RNAcentral.
GACGAACGCUGGCGGCGUGCUUAACACAUGCAAGUCGAACGAUGAACCCGGAGCUUGCUCCGGUGGAUUAGUGGCGAACGGGUGAGUAACACGUGAGUAACCUGCCCUUGACUCUGGGAUAACUGCGGGAAACUGUAGCUAAUACCGGAUACGACCCUCGGCGGCAUCGCCAGGGGGUGGAAAGAAUUUCGGUCAAGGAUGGACUCGCGGCCUAUCAGCUAGUUGGUGAGGUAACGGCUCACCAAGGCGACGACGGGUAGGCGGCCUGAGAGGGUGACCGGCCCCACUGGGACUGAGACACGGCCCAGACUCCUACGGGAGGCAGCAGUAGGGAAUCUUCCGCAAUGGACGAAAGCCUGGCGCAGCGACGCCGCGUGAGGGAUGAAGGUCUUCGGAUCGUAAACCUCUUUCAGUAGGGACGAAGCGAAAGUGACGGUACCUAAAGAAGAAGCACCGGCUAACUACGUGCCAGCCGCCGCGGUAA